AGCAGCCGCGGUAAUUCCAGCUCCAAUAGCGUAUAUUAAAGUUGUUGCAGUUAAAAAGCUCGUAGUUGAAUUUCGAGAUCAAUUUGUGGGUCGUGCCUCGGUACGUACUGGCAUUAUCGAUUUCUCCCUUCUGAAGAACCGCGAUGUCAUUAAUUUGGUGUCGUGGGGAAUCAGGACUGUUUACUUUAGAAAAAAUUGAGUGUUUAAAGCAGGCUUACGCUUGAAUACAUUAGCA
RNAcentral lists this ribosomal RNA (235 nucleotides) under uncultured Glomus. RNAcentral's name for it is "partial 18S ribosomal RNA". It matches the Rfam family "Eukaryotic small subunit ribosomal RNA", at positions 569 to 809 of the family's 1831-position model. Lineage: Eukaryota; Fungi; Glomeromycota; Glomeromycetes; Glomerales; Glomeraceae. The record is from RNAcentral.